This 1560-nucleotide long non-coding RNA is filed under the name Homo sapiens (human). Its description in RNAcentral is "HSALNT0031781". Lineage: Eukaryota; Metazoa; Chordata; Mammalia; Primates; Hominidae. The record is from RNAcentral.
CUCAGGGUACAGAGUAGUUACAGUAAAAAAAAUGACAUACUUAUGGCACAGGAUACUCGUGACAGAGUGGCAAGAGGGUGAUGGAUGUGACUGUCAGUAUUGCAAUUAUCUUUCUGAAUGGUAGAUAAAUGAAUAAUUAUUAAUAAAUACUUUUUUCACAAAAAGGAUGGUAUAUGAACACAAUUCAGUGUAUCAUAAACCACUAUUUAUGAUCCAUUUCUUAAACCUGAAGACCCUGAAGACAACACUAAAUAAAAACCUAAAGUAUGUAUAUGAGAGUUUCACCACAUUCUUUUACUGGAAUUAAUUUUUAUGUAAAUAUUUUCUUCUCAAUCAGAUUUUAAUGUCAUUGAAUACAGAGAACAAAUCUCAUUCACUUUGGUAUCGGCUGGAGUCAACAAACAUUUAAAAAUCAUUUACUGCGUCUGAUUUUGGGAUUUUGGAAGCAUUGCCUUCUACAGAAUCCACAGUAGUCCGAAGCUCUUCUACGGUUUUUGUCAAACUUUGAUUUUCCAUCUCUAGCUUCAAUAAUCUACUUGAUGUCAACUCAUUCACCUCAUGGCCCAGGGAUUUCUGGGGUGCUAUAAUAUUGAAAAAUACACCAUUGUAUUUACUCUUUACUGUUUUUACUAUGUUUACUCUUUACUAUUUAAAAAGUUGAGUGUAUAUGCAUUGCAUCAUCUGAUCCUUAACUUUAUUAAAAAUUCAAUGAGGUUAUAUAAGAUAAACAAGAUAAAAGAAGUAAAUCUUUUUUUUCCUUUUCUUUUUUUCUUUUUUUUAAAGAGACGGGGUCUCUCUCUGUCACCCAGGCUGGAGUGCAGUGAUGUGCUCCUAGCUCACUGCAGCCUCAAACGCCUGGUCUGAAGGGAUCCUCCCACCUCAGUCUCCCAAGCGGCCGGGACUGCAGGUACAGCCAGCUAAUUUUUUUAUUUUUUAGUAAAGACUGGGUCUCUGUUACUUAGGCUGGUCUCGAACUCCUGAGCUCAAGCAAUCCUCCUGCCUUGGCCUCCCAAAGUGCUGGGAUUACAGGCAUGAGCCGCUGCACCCAGCUAAGAGAUACAUGUUUAACUUUUAAUGCAUCCACAGCAUUCUAGUUAAAAAAAGCAUAAAAUUUAGAUUGAAGAAAUUGGAGUUCAAGCAGACCCAUUAAAUAUUUUGCUGAUAUAAGAACAUUAGGAUUUACAAAUGAAAUAUGAGACCUACUAUUUCAAGAAAGGAAAUGAAUAAAGGUACUGGAGAGAAUUUCCGGGUCUGCUUUUGUGUAUGUUUCAAAUUCUUCUUCAUAAAAACCAAAGAAAUACACGCACAUCCAACAUAUCCCCCACCAUGCAAAAAAUCUCUUCAAAAUUAGAUAAGCAAAUAACCUCCAUAUUUAAGUAAAGAAAAUCUCAAUUUUUAUUUCCAGCUUUUCUAGUCAUCAUGUUGUUAAUCUUUUACUGAAAGCUGGUAUACCGAAUAGUUACUAACUUUUAAAAUUCCAUUAGUUGCCUAAGUCUUUUUUUUAAUUAAAAGAUUAUUUAAAUUUAACUAUAAACUUACAGGAUACAUUAUUCUAAGUAG